Molecule: ribosomal RNA, 1738 nt
Filed under: Escherichia coli
Lineage: Bacteria; Pseudomonadati; Pseudomonadota; Gammaproteobacteria; Enterobacterales; Enterobacteriaceae
Also listed under: 1 other name
Description: partial 23S ribosomal RNA
Rfam family: Bacterial large subunit ribosomal RNA
Source: RNAcentral
GGUUAAGCGACUAAGCGUACACGGUGGAUGCCCUGGCAGUCAGAGGCGAUGAAGGACGUGCUAAUCUGCGAUAAGCGUCGGUAAGGUGAUAUGAACCGUUAUAACCGGCGAUUUCCGAAUGGGGAAACCCAGUGUGAUUCGUCACACUAUCAUUAACUGAAUCCAUAGGUUAAUGAGGCGAACCGGGGGAACUGAAACAUCUAAGUACCCCGAGGAAAAGAAAUCAACCGAGAUUCCCCCAGUAGCGGCGAGCGAACGGGGAGCAGCCCAGAGCCUGAAUCAGUGUGUGUGUUAGUGGAAGCGUCUGGAAAGGCGUGCGAUACAGGGUGACAGCCCCGUACACAAAAAUGCACAUGCUGUGAGCUCGAUGAGUAGGGCGGGACACGUGGUAUCCUGUCUGAAUAUGGGGGGACCAUCCUCCAAGGCUAAAUACUCCUGACUGACCGAUAGUGAACCAGUACCGUGAGGGAAAGGCGAAAAGAACCCCGGCGAGGGGAGUGAAAAAGAACCUGAAACCGUGUACGUACAAGCAGUGGGAGCACGCUUAGGCGUGUGACUGCGUACCUUUUGUAUAAUGGGUCAGCGACUUAUAUUCUGUAGCAAGGUUAACCGAAUAGGGGAGCCGAAGGGAAACCGAGUCUUAACUGGGCGUUAAGUUGCAGGGUAUAGACCCGAAACCCGGUGAUCUAGCCAUGGGCAGGUUGAAGGUUGGGUAACACUAACUGGAGGACCGAACCGACUAAUGUUGAAAAAUUAGCGGAUGACUUGUGGCUGGGGGUGAAAGGCCAAUCAAACCGGGAGAUAGCUGGUUCUCCCCGAAAGCUAUUUAGGUAGCGCCUCGUGAAUUCAUCUCCGGGGGUAGAGCACUGUUUCGGCAAGGGGGUCAUCCCGACUUACCAACCCGAUGCAAACUGCGAAUACCGGAGAAUGUUAUCACGGGAGACACACGGCGGGUGCUAACGUCCGUCGUGAAGAGGGAAACAACCCAGACCGCCAGCUAAGGUCCCAAAGUCAUGGUUAAGUGGGAAACGAUGUGGGAAGGCCCAGACAGCCAGGAUGUUGGCUUAGAAGCAGCCAUCAUUUAAAGAAAGCGUAAUAGCUCACUGGUCGAGUCGGCCUGCGCGGAAGAUGUAACGGGGCUAAACCAUGCACCGAAGCUGCGGCAGCGACGCUUAUGCGUUGUUGGGUAGGGGAGCGUUCUGUAAGCCUGUGAAGGUGUACUGUGAGGUAUGCUGGAGGUAUCAGAAGUGCGAAUGCUGACAUAAGUAACGAUAAAGCGGGUGAAAAGCCCGCUCGCCGGAAGACCAAGGGUUCCUGUCCAACGUUAAUCGGGGCAGGGUGAGUCGACCCCUAAGGCGAGGCCGAAAGGCGUAGUCGAUGGGAAACAGGUUAAUAUUCCUGUACUUGGUGUUACUGCGAAGGGGGGACGGAGAAGGCUAUGUUGGCCGGGCGACGGUUGUCCCGGUUUAAGCGUGUAGGCUGGUUUUCCAGGCAAAUCCGGAAAAUCAAGGCUGAGGCGUGAUGACGAGGCACUACGGUGCUGAAGCAACAAAUGCCCUGCUUCCAGGAAAAGCCUCUAAGCAUCAGGUAACAUCAAAUCGUACCCCAAACCGACACAGGUGGUCAGGUAGAGAAUACCAAGGCGCUUGAGAGAACUCGGGUGAAGGAACUAGGCAAAAUGGUGCCGUAACUUCGGGAGAAGGCACGCUGAUAUGUAGGUGAAGCGACUUGCUCGUGG